AUUGAACGCUGGCGGCAGGCCUAACACAUGCAAGUCGAACGGUAACAGGAAGAAGCUUGCUUCUUUGCUGACGAGUGGCGGACGGGUGAGUAAUGUCUGGGAAACUGCCUGAUGGAGGGGGAUAACUACUGGAAACGGUAGCUAAUACCGCAUAAUGUCGCAAGACCAAAGAGGGGGACCUUCGGGCCUCUUGCCAUCGGAUGUGCCCAGAUGGGAUUAGCUAGUAGGUGGGGUAACGGCUCACCUAGGCGACGAUCCCUAGCUGGUCUGAGAGGAUGACCAGCCACACUGGAAAUGAGACACGGUCCAGACUCCUACGGGAGGCAGCAGUGGGGAAUAUUGCACAAUGGGCGCAAGCCUGAUGCAGCUAUGCCGCGUGUAUGAAGAAGGCCUUCGGGUUGUAAAGUACUUUCAGCGGGGAGGAAGGGAGUAAAGUUAAUACCUUUGCUCAUUGACGUUACCCGCAGAAGAAGCACCGGCUAACUCCGUG
RNAcentral lists this ribosomal RNA (490 nucleotides) under uncultured bacterium. Its description in RNAcentral is "partial 16S ribosomal RNA". It matches the Rfam family "Bacterial small subunit ribosomal RNA", at positions 30 to 507 of the family's 1533-position model. The record is from RNAcentral.